This 70-nucleotide transfer RNA is filed under the name Dipodomys ordii (Ord's kangaroo rat). It matches the Rfam family "tRNA". Rfam says of the family: Transfer RNA (tRNA) molecules are approximately 80 nucleotides in length. Their secondary structure includes four short double-helical elements and three loops (D, anti-codon, and T loops). The record is from Rfam by way of RNAcentral. Lineage: Eukaryota; Metazoa; Chordata; Mammalia; Rodentia; Heteromyidae.
GGUUAUGUGACUUGGAGGUAGAGUGCUUGCCUAGCAUGCAUGAAGCCCUAGGUUCAAUUCCUCAGUACCA